Long non-coding RNA from Eptesicus fuscus (big brown bat), 2753 nucleotides. RefSeq lists it as uncharacterized. NCBI's taxonomy places the organism in Eukaryota, Metazoa, Chordata, Mammalia, Chiroptera, Vespertilionidae. The record is from RefSeq and is a predicted model, not a curated record. The transcript has 2 exons.
CGUCCACGAAGACGCCGUUCUUGCCGAGGCAGCGCAGGUAGAAGUGCGGCUCCUGGAAGAUGACCUCAGCAGUUUCCUGGGCCUGAACCUCCAUCCUGCCGCCCUCCCGUAGGAAGGUACAAAGCACCCAAACGGAGGUGUCCCUGCUGUGACAUGGAGUUGGCCUGAAGGUGCUGCCACCCCGUGCCCUGUGUUCCUCUUGGAGCCAUCCCUUCACUCAACCCCGGCUCCAUCGAGUCCCCGGGGGCAGUGCCCGAGCCAGGGCGGUGAGGCCGGCGCCUGCCCUCCUGACCCGUCAGUCCUGUGCGUCCCGGCCCCCAGGCCUCACUUAGAAAUAAAUGGAGAGCCUUCUGCCCAAAUGACAGGCCUCAGGGUUCUUGUCCCGCGGAGCGCACGGUGCGCACGGGCUGGCUCCGGCCUCGCCCCGCGUGGACACCCACGGGCCGUCGGCAAGUCCUGUCUCCUAAGCAGCCAUCGUGGGCGACAGCGACGGCUCCAACAGAGGGGGCCAGGGAAGGGGCCGUGACAGGCCAGUGAGGAACGAAGACCCGAGAAGCUGAAUUCUCCCGCUCUGCAGGCCGAGGGCAUGCCCGCGCCGCCUCCCAGGCGCGUCGAACAGGAAAAGGAAAAGCUGGCAAGGAGAGCCUCCCGCACGGGCUCCUACCCUGACGGAGCCUCUGAAGCUGGUGCAGAAACGACAGGGACUGAAUUACCUCCAAGGCGCCCGGCGCUGGGCUGUCCUGGGAGAGGCCCGUGAGGGCCCAUUGAAAAGAAGCGGCGAGCCGUCUGGAGGAACCGUCCAUUCAAAAAAGCCAAAGCAUGCGAGCAGUCCUUCACCAAAGACACACGCGUGACGGACAAGCACGUGAAAGGCAUCUCAGCGCCAUUAGUGGUUAGGGGGCGGAUUGGACGCGCCGAGUGCCCCUCCCCUGGUGCCGGAAGGCUCCGGGUCCCACCAUCUGGGAAACACUUGAGCCGUUUCUUAUCCACUAACUUACCCUGUGACCGCGGUCCUGUCCCUAGGUGUGUUCCCAAGGGACGUGAAAAGCGUGCCAACACCGACCUGUACACCGAUGCGAGCAGUGGGUUAAUUAAUGUAUCACCAACUCCUGGGGACAAGCUGACCGUCACAGCGGCCUCGGCCCCGCCACAGGGAGGAACACUACGCAGCCGGGAAAAGGAGCGGAUACCCCCCCCUCCGCAUCACGGGGCACCCCACGUGCUCUCACUUGUGGGGCGUCCUAGAGAAAGCAGAACUACGGAGACGGAAACAGAUGGGUGGUUUGCCAGGGCGGGAGGUCUGGGGAGAGGCUGGCCACGUGACACGUGGGAAGUGUCUUUGGAGGGUGACCGUGGUGGCGCCAGGAGGACUCUCCGUAUCUGUCAGGAGCAGCAGACGUGUUCACUAAAAGCAGUGGCUUUUGCUCUCUGUAAAUCAGCCUUAAUUUAAAAGUUGUUUAAAAAAACUCUAGCUUGUGCUUAUAGACCCAAAACAAGUAUUAAGAACCGUGCGGCACGACCGGGAAGCCACGAGCUACAUUAAUUCUCUAGGUAACAGGGAACAAAGCUAGACACCUUUCGGGGCGGGGUCUGCAGCCCGUGUGGCUAGUGGCUCCCGCACUGGCCGGGGCAGAGGGGGACACCCCGUCGUGGUGGCGCUGCCCGAGGGGGGCUGGCGGCCACCUCUGCCCCUCCUCCCUCAUCUGCCCGAGUCGGGGAAUCACGCCAGGCAGCCAGGGCCACCAGGAAGCGCAGUCCGGGUCAGCCCUGCCGUGAGCCCCAGAGCCUCGCCUGGACUCGCAUUCCCGGGGGGACGUGCAAGGCGGCGGGAGAGCCUGUGGACAGGAUCCUCCUGGAAACCCCAGCUCGGCCCUGCCUGCGUGUGGGGGCCCAGGAGGGGAGCCCCAUAUCUGAGAGCCUCUGGCCCACACACACACGGGCGUCCACGCACAGAGCACCUUGAGGGCCUACAGUUCAAAAAUUCAGGGUGUCCCCCAAAAUGUACGCACACACGUUGAGUAACUGUACUGGCGGGGUCUGUUCAAGUCGACCUCAUUUUCACAACUGAGCCUCCAGCUGUCACGGGGUGUGCACAUUUUGGGGACACCCUGUAUUGGACCAACGAGCUUCCUUUUCCGGUCACAGUGUCACUUCCUGCUGCUGCCGCCGCCUCCUCGGGUCCUUCCUGUGGCCCCUUCCUGCUGGGUCCCCAGGGUUCCACACGGCACAGGGACGGGACCUGGGGCCAUUCCCGAGAGGCCUGCAUGUCACCGCUGCCAAGGACAGGCGGGCAGGCUGAUCCUGCGGAAGCACUGCCCGGCCCUGUGAGCCCCCGGCACCGGGAGGGUGGGCCCCGGGCCCCGGCCCCGACAGGCGGCUUGUUCUUCGGCCGCAGCCUCGGCCUCUGCCAUCAGAGCUCCGCGCUGCUCGGCCAGGUGUCACGGCCAGGGGAGUCUUCGCCGCCACGGACACCUGUCGCCACCGGGCGUGGAGUGGUGGGGCUGCCCCGGCAGUGAUACACCCACAAGGCAGGCUCCCCGCCGCGGGGCUCAGCGGUUGAGUGUGGACCUAUGACCCAGGAGGUCAGGGGUCGAUUCCCGGUCAGGGCACAGGCCCGGUUGCAGGCUCCAUCCCCAGUGUGGGACGUGCAGGAGGCAGCCAAUCCAUGCUCUCUCUCAUGGAUGUUUCUCUCCCCUUCCCUUCCUCUUUGAAAUCAAUAAAAACAUUAAAAAAAUAUUAUUUUUUUAAAAAGA